CCUACGGGAGGCAGCAGUGGGGAAUUUUGGACAAUGGGCGCAAGCCUGAUCCAGCCAUGCCGCGUGAGUGAAGAAGGCCUUCGGGUUGUAAAGCUCUUUCGGCCGGGAAGAAAUCGCAUUGGUUAAUACCUGGUGUGGAUGACGGUACCGGAAUAAGAAGCACCGNA
Molecule: ribosomal RNA, 167 nt
Filed under: uncultured bacterium
Lineage: Bacteria
Description: partial 16S ribosomal RNA
Rfam family: Bacterial small subunit ribosomal RNA
Source: RNAcentral